Molecule: ribosomal RNA, 1496 nt
Filed under: Candidatus Freyarchaeota archaeon
Lineage: Archaea; Promethearchaeati; Candidatus Freyarchaeota
Description: 16S ribosomal RNA
Rfam family: Archaeal small subunit ribosomal RNA
Source: RNAcentral
AAUCCGGUUGAUCCUGCCGGACCUAACUGCUAUCGGGCUGGGACUAAGCCAUGCGAGUCGCGCGCCCCGAGCCACGCCGGGGAGCGGCGAACGGCUCAGUAACACGUAGUCAACCUACCCUCAGGACGGGGACAACCUCGGGAAACUGAGGCUAAUCCCCGAUAGGCGGCGACGCCUGGAAUGGUUCGCCGCCCAAACGGACCACAGGCAUGCCUGUGGCUCCGCCUGAGGAUGGGACUGCGGCCGAUUAGGUUGUUGGUGGGGUAACGGCCCACCAAGCCUACGAUCGGUACGGGCCAUGAGAGUGGGAGCCCGGAGAUGGGGACUGAGACAAGGCCCCAGGCCCUACGGGGCGCAGCAGGCGCGAAACCUCCGCAAUGCGCGGAAGCGUGACGGGGCCAGCCCGAGUGCCGGCGGCAGCCGGCUUUUCACCGGUGUAAGAAGCCGGUGGAAUAAGGGGAGGGCAAGGCUGGUGCCAGCCGCCGCGGUAAAACCAGCUCCCCGAGUGGUUAGGACGCUUACUGGGCCUAAAGCGUCCGUAGCCGGCCCCGCAAGUCUCCGGUCAAACCCGGCGGCUCAACCGUCGGACCGCCGGAGAUACUGCGGGGCUUGGGGGCGGGAGAGGCCGAGGGUACUCCCAGGGUAGGGGUGAAAUCCGAUAAUCCUGGGAGGACGACCAGUGGCGAAGGCGCUCGGCUGGAACGCGCCCGACGGUGAGGGACGAAAGCCAGGGGAGCGAACCGGAUUAGAUACCCGGGUAGUCCUGGCCGUAAACGAUGCCGGGUAGGUGUUAGGGCGGCUACGAGCCGUCCUAGUGCCGAAGGGAAGCCGUUAACCCGGCCGCCUGGGGAGUACGGCCGCAAGGCUGAAACUUAAAGGAAUUGACGGGGGAGCACCACAAGGGGUGGAGCCUGCGGUUUAAUUGGACUCAACGCCGGGCAACUUACCGGGCGCGACAGCUGGAUGAAGGCCAGGCUGACGACCUUGCCAGACUAGCUGAGAGGAGGUGCAUGGCCGUCGCCAGUUCGUGCCGUGAGGUGUCCUGUUAAGUCAGGCAACGAACGAGACCCCUGCCCCUAAUUGCCAGCGGGACCCGUCCGGGUCGCCGGGUACAUUAGGGGGACUGCCGCCGAGAAGGCGGAGGAAGGAGGGGGCCACGGCAGGUCAGUAUGCCCCGAAACGCCCGGGCCACACGCGGGCUACAAUGGCCGGGACAAUGGGUUCCAACCCCGAAAGGGGAAGGUAAUCCCAUAAACCCGGCCUCAGUUGGGAUCGAGGGCUGCAACUCGCCCUCGUGAACACGGAAUCCCUAGUAAUCGCGGGUCAACAUCCCGCGGUGAAUACGUCCCUGCUCCUUGUACACACCGCCCGUCGCUCCACCCGAAUCCGGUUUGGGUGAGGCUUCGUCCUCUGGGCGGGGUCGAACCUGGGCCGGGUGAGGGGGGAGAAGUCGUAACAAGGUAGCCGUAGGGGAACCUGCGGCUGGAUCACCUCCU